Molecule: long non-coding RNA, 269 nt
Filed under: Heterocephalus glaber (naked mole-rat)
Lineage: Eukaryota; Metazoa; Chordata; Mammalia; Rodentia; Bathyergidae
Description: lncRNA (ENSHGLG00100041250.1)
Source: RNAcentral
GUUUUUCUUCAGAUGAGUUAGCCCGAGUUGCUAGUUAUGCCAAAGUGCAGUUGACUCUUCGCCUGGCAACUUUUCACCCUUCUUGGGGAAUGUGGCUUCCAUGGAUAGUGCUAGAGGGCAUUUACACAACAAUUUUAUGAACAAACAGGUUAGCAGAGCACAUCGUUGCAUUCCUGAACGAGAGCUGAAGUUAGCAUCUUCCUCUGAGACCCCAAGUGGUGUCUCUCUAAUGACAAGGGAAUAUUCUUGCACAUGUGCAGAUGUCGGGC